Long non-coding RNA from Alosa sapidissima (American shad), 116 nucleotides. RefSeq lists it as uncharacterized. The transcript is spliced from 3 exons. The record is from RefSeq and is a predicted model, not a curated record. NCBI's taxonomy places the organism in Eukaryota, Metazoa, Chordata, Actinopteri, Clupeiformes, Clupeidae.
UGUGUGUGUGAGCCGUAAUAGGGUGACAAUUUUUCGGGACUCCCGCGGGUCACAGUAUUCCCGCGGGUUUCCUGCAGUACGGGAGUAAAUUUCACUGUUGGUAACGUGAUUGGGAC